AUGAUGAUUUUCCUCUUCCAGCACUGGGUCUUGCUGGCUGUAGACUUGUUCCUUGCGAUGACCCUUUCCUGCCUCCUUUAUGCCUUUGUGUUUGUUUCCGUCGUCUUUUUGGCCUGCUGCAUUAUCUUCUUGUCCUUCGGCAUUGUGGAGAAGAACAUUGACGUAAAAGGGAGAGCAAUUGUCAUUCUCGUGUCCAACAGCUCCAUUGGGAGGACAUUUGCCAGGAACCUGGAUAAAGCAGGUUUUAGGGUGUCUGCUGCACACUGGCCUCCUCGAGAGGAGGGGAUGACCACGAAAGAAGAGUGCUCUUCGAGCAUGGAGGUAGCACAGCUCCACAUGACUGACGAUGAGUACCAGAAGACAGUGAAAACCUUCAUAGAAAGCCACUUGUCCCUGAAAGGCCCUGCGCAGGACAGCUGUGCUGGAAGGCAGAGCACUCACCAGGAGCCGCCCCUGCUGCAGGCACCCCCAGAGACACGCCCUCUGUGUCGCUGUCCUCUUCUGCCCACUGAACUGUGCCCUGACUUCCCUGAAGAAGAGAGCUCUGCAGCUCCUUGUGCCCCUGAAGCCCAAAAACUGAGAGGUGAGGCAGUGUGCUCACAGCUCACUUACAUACACCUGACAGCCCGCCAGCACCUCCCGCAAGGCCAGCUCUUAGUGCUGCUGGGACACAAAGGGCUGGGGGGCCAGGAGCACAGCGCAGAGCAGCUCCUGCACCUCCAGCACUGA
RNAcentral lists this long non-coding RNA (729 nucleotides) under Anas platyrhynchos platyrhynchos (common mallard). RNAcentral describes it as "lncRNA (ENSAPLG00000030554.1)". The record is from RNAcentral. Lineage: Eukaryota; Metazoa; Chordata; Aves; Anseriformes; Anatidae.